Molecule: non-coding RNA, 252 nt
Organism: Pelobates cultripes (western spadefoot toad)
Lineage: Eukaryota; Metazoa; Chordata; Amphibia; Anura; Pelobatidae
Source: the annotation of a GenBank genome assembly
CUUCAAUUAGAACAAAUGAAAGGAAAAUGCAGGUUGCACAAAAAACAAAUAGCUAUCACAAGCAAUUAAAAAUUAUGAAAACGAGUGUAACGGGAUAUAGUCCAUCAUUUUCUGCACCCAAUAAACAUGUUUCCAGUAGUUGGACUUAGAUCCACAGGUACAUACAAAAAAAUAAAAAAAAUAAAAACCACUGGUGCAGAUUUAUACAAAAAGAUAUAUGCACAAUUCAUGUACACUUUAUAAAUACCCAAU